This 181-nucleotide non-coding RNA is filed under the name Duganella sp. CF402. RNAcentral describes it as "6S / SsrS RNA". It matches the Rfam family "6S / SsrS RNA". Rfam says of the family: E. coli 6S RNA was the first non coding RNA to be sequenced, but its function was unknown until recently. It consists of 184 nucleotides that fold into an extended hairpin structure with a large single-stranded internal bulge. RNAcentral also lists the same sequence under 1 other name. The record is from RNAcentral. Lineage: Bacteria; Pseudomonadati; Pseudomonadota; Betaproteobacteria; Burkholderiales; Oxalobacteraceae.
UUCACCCUGCGGUGUUCGAGACUUGUCAUAUAUUCCUUGAACCAUUUGUUUGCACCGGUCGUGGAAAUUUGUUCGGUGGGCGAGAGCGUCGCUAGUCCGAUGAACCCGAAAUUGAACUAACCGUGACCACCUGAGCCUUUUAGGUUCGGGAUGCCGGCAAGACGGCACAGGCGGGGCCUUA